Podarcis lilfordi (Lilford's wall lizard) is the source of this 76-nucleotide non-coding RNA. The record is from the annotation of a GenBank genome assembly. NCBI's taxonomy places the organism in Eukaryota, Metazoa, Chordata, Lepidosauria, Squamata, Lacertidae.
UCUGCGAUAGCUCAGUUGGUACAGCAUGAUAUUCUUAUUCUCACUGUCAUGGGUUUGAGCCCCACGCUGGGCAAAA